Non-coding RNA from Bos taurus (domestic cattle), 72 nucleotides. NCBI's taxonomy places the organism in Eukaryota, Metazoa, Chordata, Mammalia, Artiodactyla, Bovidae. The record is from Rfam.
UCCCUGGUGGCUCAGAUGGUAAAGAAUCUGCCUGCAAUGCAGGAGACCUGGGUUCGAUCCCUGGGUCGGGAA